Molecule: ribosomal RNA, 253 nt
Filed under: uncultured bacterium
Lineage: Bacteria
Description: partial 16S ribosomal RNA
Rfam family: Bacterial small subunit ribosomal RNA
Source: RNAcentral
CUUUCUUUGCUGGCGACCGGCGCACGGGUGAGUAACACGUAUCCAACCUGCCCUUUACUCGGGGAUAGCCUUUCGAAAGAAAGAUUAAUACCCGAUGGCAUAAUGAUUCCGCAUGGUUUCAUUAUUAAAGGAUUCCGGUAAAGGAUGGGGAUGCGUUCCAUUAGGUUGUUGGUGGGGUAACGGCCCACCAAGCCUUCGAUGGAUAGGGGUUCUGAGAGGAAGGUCCCCCACAUUGGAACUGAGACACGGCCAA